Molecule: unclassified non-coding RNA, 148 nt
Organism: Pongo abelii (Sumatran orangutan)
Lineage: Eukaryota; Metazoa; Chordata; Mammalia; Primates; Hominidae
Rfam family: Metazoan signal recognition particle RNA
About the family: The signal recognition particle (SRP) is a universally conserved ribonucleoprotein. It is involved in the co-translational targeting of proteins to membranes. The eukaryotic SRP consists of a 300-nucleotide 7S RNA and six proteins: SRPs 72, 68, 54, 19, 14, and 9.
Source: Ensembl
GCCAGGCAUGGUGGCGCAUGCCUGUAAUCCCAGCUACUCAGGAGGCUGAGGCAGGAGAAUUGCUUGAACCCGGGAGGCAGAGGCUGCAGUGAGCCAAGAUUGUGCCACUGCACUCUAGCUUGGGCGACAGAGCAAGACUCUAUCUCAA